AUCCAGCUGACGAGUCACGAAUAGGACGAAAUGCGCGUCCUGGAU
This 45-nucleotide non-coding RNA is filed under the name Trichobilharzia regenti. The record is from RNAcentral. Lineage: Eukaryota; Metazoa; Platyhelminthes; Trematoda; Strigeidida; Schistosomatidae.